This is a long non-coding RNA of Mirounga angustirostris (Northern elephant seal), 2042 nucleotides long. RefSeq lists it as uncharacterized. The record is from RefSeq and is a predicted model, not a curated record. Lineage: Eukaryota; Metazoa; Chordata; Mammalia; Carnivora; Phocidae. The transcript is spliced from 4 exons.
GAUCUUCUACAAGUAACCAAAAAUAUCAAUGCCAUUGACAAAUAGAAAAAAAUAGUUAUAUAGUUAAUCAUACCUCAUUGAAAAUCACACCACUGCCUUCCUUCCCUAAUGAUUGUCUAUAAACAAAAUCCAAGAACAGCGUCUCUUUUUUUCUUUGCGUUAGUUCCUGUCCGUGUACAGAGAACAUCAGGCUGUGACUCACAUACUGACACAUCUCCAGCACAGCUGGAUAGGCACAGAACGCAUUUCACAACAAGGACAAAGAAAGAAAGGGAGAAAAGUCCGUUCAUUUAAAGAAUCUAUAUAGCUUACUGCUGCAAAAGCAAGAUGCAAACUUUUCCAAGAAAACCAGUUCAAGGAAAAGCAAAUUGUUUUGUGCUAAUUAAAAAUUGCUUGAAUAAUUUUUAAUAUGUAAUAAAUUCCUUCAAGAUAGCUAUUCACUCUGGAAACCUCACUCUCACUGAGAAGAAGCAACAAUUUAUGAAUAUCGGGAGUGAAGCUCUGGUGACAAUUUAGAGGGAUGAACAAUAAAAGAAAAGUACUCCGUGAUAAUCUUGGAAUUCUUUCGAGAGAAAAAUAGCUAUAGGGAUAGGUUUCUAUGCAGGCAAAAGAAAGAAUGGUGUUGCAUAAACUCUCCAGAGAUUUGAUAAAUGAACUCAGAAAUAUCUGCACUCUAGCUUUGAAAGGGCUGAGUUGGUUGAUACAGAACAAUGUCAAAGAUGGCAUAUUUUCACAGAACUGUCCAUGGGUAACAUUUCCCUCCCUGUGCAAUUCAAGGAAAAGAAGAUUUUUAUAGCCAUGAAAUGAGCAUUGAAUGGAAGAAGUUGCUGCGGCUGAGGUCGAAGAGGUUGGGGCCUGUGUUCUCCUUUAGGAUUUUGAUGGACCGCCAUCUUUCAGCUAUUUGCAAGCCCUGAAAAAAAUUACAGAAGAGGAAGUCAGAAAUUCAAAACACAAGAAAGACCUCACACACCAUUGCUGGCUUGAAGACCAAAGAGGCCACUUGGCACAGAAUGUACAGGUGAUCUCUAGGAGCUGAGACCAGCUGUCUGCUAAUAGCUAGCAAGGAAUGAAGACCUCAGCCCUGCAACUUCAAGGAACAAGAAGAAUGAACUUGGAAGUAGUAUCUCCUCUGAGCUUGCAGAGGAGAACUCAACCAGGUAAUGUCUUGAUUUCAGCCUUGUGAUACUCUGACCAGAGAAUACAGGUACAUGAUACCAGACUUCUGUGCUUCCAGUAAAACUGAACCAAUAAAUGGACACUGUUCUAAGUCAUUACAUUUGUGUCAUUGUUACACAGAAGUAGAAAACUAGGACGCCUGGGUGGCUCAGUUGGUUAAGCAUCUGCCUUCGGCUCAGGUCAUGAUCCCAGGGUCCUGGGAUCGAGUCCCGCAUCGGGCUCCCUGCUCUGCGGGGAGCCUGCUUCUCCCUCUGCCUCUGCCUCUCUCUCACUCUGUCUCUCAUGAAUAAAUAAAUAAAAUCUUAAAAAAAAAAAGAAAUAGAAAACAAAUACAUACCACCUUGGCCUCAAUUUUCUUUAGGUAAAGUUAAUAGUUAUAGAUGCAGACUACACAGAAAACAAUCAUUCAAAAAUAAGUCAAAUAUAUUUUUCAUGGGAGGGCUUUGGUAUAGCAUUUAUUCAAACUUUGUUCCAGCAAACAGAAAUCUAACUUAUUCCACCAAAUGAUAAACUGUUCCAUUUCUAAGCCAUUCCAAAAAGUCCUUUUCCAAUGCAUUCCAGUGCUAAAUAAUUCAUCAUUAGGAAAUUUGUUCUUAGUCCUCAUUUCCUCCAGAUAAUGAAAAUUGGCAUACUUCAUGCAUACUAUCUACUGCUCCUACCUAGGGAUAUUGGCCCUUAUAUAAAAAUUCAUAUAUGCUGUUGUGUUAAAAAAAUAAAAAUACCUAAACAAACUUCUUGAAGUUGUUAGAGGUGAUGGGGAAGGACUGCAAUGAGAACCAGAAUGGUGGUACAUACUCAGGAAAUCUUAGCAUUCAUCUUUUUUUCUCAUGAGCCACAGGGCUUUUCUCUUAAUAUAUUUCUCACAA